AGCCACCAAUCAUCUCAAUGGCAGGAUUAGAUCAUCAGAAUCUCUCAAGACUCAUUUGGUUGAUGAGAAGUAGAAGGAGGAAGAAGCACUUUCUGAGAAGUGGAAAGGAGGCCUCUUAUUUGGUUGGAGUUUUAAGAGGAGAGAGAGUAAAUUUUUUUUUUCAUAAGAAAUCACUUUCUACAUUUCAUGGAAAGUGAAAACCCAUAGGGGAGA
Molecule: long non-coding RNA, 213 nt
Filed under: Elaeis guineensis (African oil palm)
Lineage: Eukaryota; Viridiplantae; Streptophyta; Magnoliopsida; Arecales; Arecaceae
Description: long non-coding RNA (EGUI_LNC018797)
Source: RNAcentral